RNAcentral lists this non-coding RNA (99 nucleotides) under alpha proteobacterium AAP81b. Its description in RNAcentral is "Glycine riboswitch aptamer". It matches the Rfam family "Glycine riboswitch aptamer". Rfam says of the family: This family represents the bacterial glycine riboswitch. Glycine riboswitches usually consist of two metabolite-binding aptamers domains with similar structures in tandem. The record is from Rfam by way of RNAcentral. Lineage: Bacteria; Pseudomonadati; Pseudomonadota; Alphaproteobacteria.
GGCGCCAGCGCGGGAGAGUGCGGACGUGGCAACACGCGCCGCCGCCGAAGGAGCAAGCCGCCCCCGGAAUCUCUCAGGCCCAAGGACCGCGCCGGCGUA